AACGAACGCUGGCGGCAUGCCUAACACAUGCAAGUCGAACGAAGGCUUCGGCCUUAGUGGCGCACGGGUGCGUAACGCGUGGGAAUCUGCCCUUUGGUUCGGAAUAACAGCUGGAAACGGCUGCUAAUACCGGAUGAUGACGAAAGUCCAAAGAUUUAUCGCCAGAGGAUGAGCCCGCGUUGGAUUAGGCAGUUGGUGGGGUAAAGGCCUACCAAGCCGACGAUCCAUAGCUGGUCUGAGAGGAUGAUCAGCCACACUGGGACUGAGACACGGCCCAGACUCCUACGGGAAGCAGCAGUGGGGAAUAUUGGACAAUGGGCGCAAGCCUGAUCCAGCAAUGCCGCGUGAGUGAUGAAGGCCCUAGGGUUGUAAAGCUCUUUUACCCGGGAAGAUAAUGACUGUACCGGGAGAAUAAGCCCCGGCUAACUCCGUG
Molecule: ribosomal RNA, 433 nt
Filed under: uncultured bacterium
Lineage: Bacteria
Description: partial 16S ribosomal RNA
Rfam family: Bacterial small subunit ribosomal RNA
Source: RNAcentral